RNAcentral lists this ribosomal RNA (484 nucleotides) under uncultured bacterium. RNAcentral describes it as "partial 16S ribosomal RNA". It matches the Rfam family "Bacterial small subunit ribosomal RNA", at positions 30 to 507 of the family's 1533-position model. The record is from RNAcentral.
AUUGAACGCUGGCGGCAGGCCUAACACAUGCAAGUCGAGCGGAUGAAGGGAGCUUGCUCCUGUAUUCAGCGGCGGACGGGUGAGUAAUGCCUAGGAAUCUGCCUGGUAGUGGGGGAUAACGUCCGGAAACGGGCGCUAAUACCGCAUACGUCCUGAGGGAGAAAGUGGGGGAUCUUCGGACCUCACGCUAUCAGAUGAGCCUAGGUCGGAUUAGCUAGUUGGUGGGGUAAAGGCCUACCAAGGCGACGAUCCGUAACUGGUCUGAGAGGAUGAUCAGUCAGACUGGAACUGAGACACGGUCCAGACUCCUACGGGAGGCAGCAGUGGGGAAUAUUGGACAAUGGGCGAAAGCCUGAUCCAGCCAUGCCGCGUGUGUGAAGAAGGUCUUCGGAUUGUAAAGCACUUUAAGUUGGGAGGAAGGGCAGUAAGUUAAUACCUUGCUGUUUUGACGUUACCAACAGAAUAAGCACCGGCUAACUUCGUG